Small nuclear RNA from Rattus rattus (black rat), 107 nucleotides. Lineage: Eukaryota; Metazoa; Chordata; Mammalia; Rodentia; Muridae. The record is from RefSeq and is a predicted model, not a curated record.
GUGCCCACUUGGGCAGCACAUACACUGAAAUUGGAAUGAUACAGAGAAGAUUAGCAUGGCCCCUGUGCAAAGAUGACAGGCAAAUUCAUGAAGUGGUCCAUGUUUUU